GUCCUAAGGGGGAAGUUGAGAUAGACUGACUGCCACCUAGUGACAGUCCUCUAAUGUAGGAGGGAACUGGAAUUGACCUUGGCUUGCACAACUCAUGAUCAUAAUUACCUUCUAAUUAAGGUUCAGAGCCCGACGACUUGAAGUGAGCUACAUAAUAAGUGGGGACCUGAAUCCGUGUGUUUCUGUUCCACAGGAGAGCCCACUGUGUGAGAGCACACAUCCCUACUGUGCCUUCUAGAGGAUCUGUUAGCAGGGCAGGAACACAUAAAGCCUGUUCCAGAAGUGGCCACAGAAAUGUCCACAGGCCGUGCUGUCUGACAAGGGCACAGGGAGCAAGAAGGCCCUGAUCUAGAUUCUUCCGUGGUUGUGGGGAGAGAACGAAGUGAGAGGUUCUGUGUGUUCAUGAAAUACAGCCUCCUCAAAUGAGGUAAAUAUCCUUUCACAAUAAGGUCACCCCAAGGUAUUGUGGAGUGUUUCUGCAAAGGAAGUA
Molecule: long non-coding RNA, 490 nt
Filed under: Rattus norvegicus (Norway rat)
Lineage: Eukaryota; Metazoa; Chordata; Mammalia; Rodentia; Muridae
Description: long non-coding RNA NONRATT033019
Source: RNAcentral